Topomyia yanbarensis is the source of this 272-nucleotide long non-coding RNA. RefSeq lists it as uncharacterized. The transcript is spliced from 3 exons. Lineage: Eukaryota; Metazoa; Arthropoda; Insecta; Diptera; Culicidae. The record is from RefSeq and is a predicted model, not a curated record.
AAAACAAGUGCAGUACGAUAAAUUGAAAAAUUCUAAUUAAAAGCAGUUAAAUCCUACAGCUAUUAGUACGGCUGAUUGAAAUUGGUACUACAUAGCUGCUAUCCUUUCAUCUACGGUAUCGUAAAAACUAAAUUAAUCAUACAACACACAAUAAGAGCAUUACCACCACCAACUGAACUACUGUAAAAGACAUAAAAGGGACACUAAACGUAAGUUUUCUUAAAUCUAUUAACUAAAAAUAUGCAAACGUUAUAUCGAACCACUAACUAAAA